AAUAAGUCUAUAUCAGGCCUCCUUUUAUAGUUGUCCAUCUAUCCUUUCUUCUUCGUUCUUCUCUUCUCUAGCUGGUUUAUUUGCUUCUAAAUACAAAUAUAAAGGAUAAGCAUAUUGUCUCUCUCUCUGAAAUAAAUACCGUAUAUACUCGUGUAUAAGUCGAUCUCAUGUAUAAGUCGAGUGCAGUUUUGUGACCAACAAUUGUGAAAUAUGCUAUGCCUCGUGGAUAAGUCGGGGGUAAAACUUGGGGCUAUGAAGUUCUGUGAUUUUUAUAAUUAUAUACACACACACUCAUACAAACACACACACUGUAUUAUAUACACACACUCAUACAAACACAC
Non-coding RNA from Pelobates cultripes (western spadefoot toad), 341 nucleotides. Lineage: Eukaryota; Metazoa; Chordata; Amphibia; Anura; Pelobatidae. The record is from the annotation of a GenBank genome assembly.